AGGCAGCCACUUUGCAGUACAUAUUGGGCAAAGAAGGUGUUAAACUGCUCGUAUAUUGAAUUUGUUUGGGCUUUUCAGAGUUGCUGAGGGAGAUUGAUUUCCUUGAAGCUUGGCCUAGAAAGCCCAAGUACAUU
Molecule: small nucleolar RNA, 134 nt
Organism: Tripterygium wilfordii
Lineage: Eukaryota; Viridiplantae; Streptophyta; Magnoliopsida; Celastrales; Celastraceae
Product: small nucleolar RNA snoR77
Exons: 1
Source: RefSeq, a predicted model, not a curated record